This 468-nucleotide ribosomal RNA is filed under the name uncultured bacterium. RNAcentral describes it as "partial 16S ribosomal RNA". It matches the Rfam family "Bacterial small subunit ribosomal RNA", at positions 28 to 507 of the family's 1533-position model. The record is from RNAcentral.
GACGAACGCUGGCGGCGUGCUUAACACAUGCAAGUCGAACGGACAGGCCCUGCUUUUGUUGGGUGCUCGAGUGGCGAACGGGUGAGUAACACGUGAGUAACCUGCCCUUGACUUUGGGAUAACUUCAGGAAACUGGGGCUCAUACCGGAUAGGAGCUCCUGCUGCAUGGUGGGGGUUGGAGAGUUUCGGCGGUUGGGGAUGGACUAGCGGCUUAUCAGCUUGUUGGUGGGGUAGUGGCUUACCAAGGCUUUGACGGGUAGCCGGCCUGAGAGGGUGACCGGCCACAUUGGGACUGAGAUACGGCCCAGACUCCUACGGGAGGCAGCAGUGGGGAAUAUUGCACAAUGGGCGGAAGCCUGAUGCAGCAACGCCGCGUGCGGGAUGACGUCCUUCGGGUUGUAAACCGCUUUCGCCGGUGACGAAGCGUGAGUGACGGUAAUGGGUAAAGAAGCACCGGCUAACUACGUG